UAAAUACUUCAUCCGUCCGAAAAUACUUGUCUUAACAUGAAUGAAUCUAGACUUAUUUUAGUUAUAGAUACAUUCAUUAUAUUUAUUUUUAGGACAAGUAUUUCCAGACGAAGGCAGUAGGAA
Molecule: microRNA precursor, 123 nt
Filed under: Hordeum vulgare
Lineage: Eukaryota; Viridiplantae; Streptophyta; Magnoliopsida; Poales; Poaceae
Description: microRNA MIR1122
Rfam family: MIR1120/MIR1122 microRNA precursor family
Source: RNAcentral